Molecule: ribosomal RNA, 253 nt
Filed under: uncultured bacterium
Lineage: Bacteria
Description: partial 16S ribosomal RNA
Rfam family: Bacterial small subunit ribosomal RNA
Source: RNAcentral
UACGUAGGGGGCUAGCGUUGUCCGGAAUCAUUGGGCGUAAAGAGCGCGUAGGCGGCUCGGUAAGUCCGCUGUAAAAGUCAAAGGCUCAACCUUUGAAUGUCAGUGGAAACUGCCGGGCUAGAGUCCGGAAGAGGCGAGUGGAAUUCCUGGUGUAGCCGUGAAAUGCGCAGAUAUCAGGAAGAACACCCGUGGCUAAGGCGGUUCUCUAGUACGGUACUGACGCUGAGACGCGAAAGCGUGGGGAGCGAACAGG